This 345-nucleotide long non-coding RNA is filed under the name Capsicum annuum. RNAcentral describes it as "long non-coding RNA (CANN_LNC006557)". Lineage: Eukaryota; Viridiplantae; Streptophyta; Magnoliopsida; Solanales; Solanaceae. The record is from RNAcentral.
UUAUAUUUUAAAGUUUAUUAUUUUUUAUAUCAAUCUCAAUUUUUGUAAAAAGAUUUUAUUUUGUGUAGCCAAAGGGAAUGAUACCCUCACAAAGGAGAGCAACAAAUGUUGAAAUCCAUUCUUCUGGAUCAAGAGCUAAAUUUGUUAUUUGAUUUUAAACAAAAAAUAUUUAUAUAUUUAGUAAAUUUCUCAAUAUAAAUAUAGGGUCUACACAAAAAUUAUUGAGUUCUCGAGAACUCACACAUGACAUCUUAGAUCCGUCACGUACAAACGACUAUGGAGGUGGGUGAAGUUCUUUUAGUUGUCUGAUUAAAAAUAAUAAAAUUCCUAAGAAAAAAUCUUAAA